This is a long non-coding RNA of Solanum lycopersicum (tomato), 738 nucleotides long. RefSeq lists it as uncharacterized. The record is from RefSeq and is a predicted model, not a curated record. Lineage: Eukaryota; Viridiplantae; Streptophyta; Magnoliopsida; Solanales; Solanaceae.
UUUUAGUGAGACGUGAGAAGUGGAACAUCAAGUGUGAAAAGAGAGAAAAAUUGUGAAACAAAAUCAAGAAUCAAGUGUUCAGUCUAGAAACAAAAGUAUUGAGUUUCUAAGACAGAUUCAUCAACACACAAAAACAGACUUCUAGUUUGUGAACAAAAUCUUUGUUUCCUAGUGAUUCAAAGAUGGACUUGAGCACCAACCUGUCAAAGAAGCAGAUUAACGACUUUCACUUUGAAUUACAAGGAACAUGCUCAAAUUACUCCAAGUGGGAGUUCUCAAAGUAGAGCAAAAGGAAGAGGUCAAUGAGCAAUCCUCCGUAAGAUGUGUUUUUCGAGGGCGAAAAGUCGUACAGAUUGGUGUCCCAAAAGAGACACAAAGUAUGUUAAGGAGUGAAAGGACCAUUCGAAGAAAAAAAGAAAAAUAUCUAAGAGAGUUUAAGUUUUUGAAGAUGGAUCUCCUUGGUUGUUUAAUAGGAUUCCUCCAGAUCUUUGUCAAAAUUUUGAAAAGCUUAAUGAAAGUGAACAAGUUUCAGAGAGUAAAAAGGGUAUGAUGUUUUGAAUAAUUCCUUGCCAGAAUACUGGAAGAAUGAACUUAAUGAAGUUAGAAUUGAAAUUGGGGAUACUAAAAAAUUAUGAAAGUACUAUGUAAUAAUAGGAGUUAAGUGGGUAAAACUUAAAACUUCACCCACAAUGUAUCCAAUACUUCCUUUUUUAUCAAUUUAAAUAUUUUUUUAUUAAA